CGGGAUUCACGACGACCGAGCACUCUAAAAAAGAUGUUCGUUGUCGUUGAAACCUGAA
This 58-nucleotide microRNA precursor is filed under the name Parasteatoda tepidariorum (common house spider). Its description in RNAcentral is "microRNA pte-mir-981 precursor". Its record names the gene pte-mir-981. Lineage: Eukaryota; Metazoa; Arthropoda; Arachnida; Araneae; Theridiidae. The record is from miRBase by way of RNAcentral.